CUACGAGCUCAUACGCGCAAUUAAGGUAUGUUAAGUCUAUCCCUUCUUUCUUUUUGGCAUGAUCCAAGUGAUGCAAACGAAACGAGCAAAAUACGCAACUCUCAUAAAUGACUCUAUUCAUAAAAAUACCAGGGGUGUCUAUAUUCUUGAUUCCACAUGUGAAUUAUUAUUAUAUCCUCUGUUCAUGGGUCUCAGAAAAAUAUGUAUUUGAUAAAGUUUGUCCGAAAGGCAUAUUAAUUUUAUAAUAGUCGAGAAAUCUUAUUAAUGUAUUUCUUAUGCAUUUCAUGCAUUUAUACAUUUACAUUGACCCAUGACCAGAAGGCGUUAUAUACGCGUAUAUUAUAUGUAUAUGGGAUAUGGGAAAAGGUUACGGCGUUAUAUACGCACCACCACCUGAUCAGUUGGUAUACGUUGAUGAUUUUCCCACAGUGGCCGAGAUGAUAUGAUGGGAUGCCCUCAGAGGUUUGAUGAUGUUAUGUACGCAUAUACCUAUGCAUGGUAUGACAUUUAUACGUAUAUGUAUGAUAUUAUAAAUAUGAAAUGAUUCACAGGGUUAUUCAGACUUACAUGUCUUUUACUCCAUGUUUCUCUCAUGUCUAUUAUUUACUAAUUUUUAUUCCUUACAUACUCGGUAUAUUAUUUAUACCGACGUCCCUUUUGCCUGGGGACGCUGCGUUUCAUGCCCGCAGGUCCUGAUAGACAAGUUGCGAGUCCUCCAAGUAGGCUAUCAGCUCAGCGGAAGGUAUUAGUACGCUCUAUUUGCUCCGGAGUUGCUUAUUUGGUCAGUAUGAUUUAAACAUGUAUUAAUUAGUAUGGCGGGGCCCUGUCCCGACCUUUAUGGUAUUCAUCUACUCUUAGAGGCUUGUAGACAUAUGUCAUGUACGUGAAAGAUUGUACGGCCUUAUCGGCCUAUGUUCAAUGUACGAGUGAUCAUUUUGGUCUUAUAAGCCCGUAUGUCAUAUGUAUAAG
This 969-nucleotide long non-coding RNA is filed under the name Nicotiana tabacum (common tobacco). Its description in RNAcentral is "long non-coding RNA (NTAB_LNC001768)". Lineage: Eukaryota; Viridiplantae; Streptophyta; Magnoliopsida; Solanales; Solanaceae. The record is from RNAcentral.